This is a regulatory RNA element of Alcanivorax borkumensis SK2, 111 nucleotides long. It matches the Rfam family "Alpha operon ribosome binding site". Rfam says of the family: The bacterial alpha operon ribosome binding site is surrounded by this complex pseudoknotted structure. Translation of the mRNA produces 4 ribosomal protein products, one of which (S4) acts as a translational repressor by binding to the nested pseudoknot region. The record is from Rfam. NCBI's taxonomy places the organism in Bacteria, Pseudomonadati, Pseudomonadota, Gammaproteobacteria, Oceanospirillales, Alcanivoracaceae.
CGGCGUAGCGCUAGACUCUGCCGCCUUUCGGCGCCUAUGAGCCUGGCGCCACCCGUUUUGUGAAUCGGAGAUAUUCGGAUGGCCCGUAUUGCAGGCGUUAACAUCCCGGAA